AUUUAUAUAGUUUAACUAAAACUUUACAUUUUCACUGUAAAAAUAAAAUU
RNAcentral lists this transfer RNA (50 nucleotides) under Ischyja manlia. RNAcentral describes it as "tRNA-Glu". Lineage: Eukaryota; Metazoa; Arthropoda; Insecta; Lepidoptera; Erebidae. The record is from RNAcentral.